AGGAUGAACGCUAGCGGCAGGCCUAAUACAUGCAAGUCGAACGGACUGGGGGGGCUUCGGUUCCCCGGUUAGUGGCGCACGGGUGCGUAACGCGUAUGCAACCUACCUUCUAUUGGGGGGAUAGCCCCGGGAAACCGGGAUUAAUACCGCAUAAUACAUUUGACCGGCAUCGGUUGACUGUUAAAGUUCGGCGAUAGAAGAUGGGCAUGCGUGCCAUUAGCUUGUGGCGGGGUAACGCCCACCAAGGCGACGAUGGCUAGGGGUUCUGAGAGGAUGGUCCCCCACACUGGUACUGAGACACGGACCAGACUCCUACGGGAGGCAGCAGUAGGGAAUAUGGGCAAUGGAAGAGAUUCUGACCCAGCCAUGCCGCGUGCAGGAAGAAGGCCUUCUGGGUUGUAAACUGCUUUUAUCUAAGGAAGAAAACCGCCCCGUGACGGGGUAACUGACGGUACUAGAUAGAAUAAGACACCGGCUAACGUCCGUGCCAGACAGCCGAC
This 500-nucleotide ribosomal RNA is filed under the name uncultured soil bacterium. RNAcentral describes it as "bacterial SSU rRNA". It matches the Rfam family "Bacterial small subunit ribosomal RNA", at positions 26 to 518 of the family's 1533-position model. The record is from RNAcentral.